UGCCCCAUGGCUAAGUUGGUUAAAGCGUCCGACUGUUAAAUCAACAGUUUCAUCGGAAGGUCCUGAGUUCGAGCCUCAGUGGGGCAG
RNAcentral lists this transfer RNA (87 nucleotides) under Athelia sp. TMB. It matches the Rfam family "tRNA". From Rfam's summary of the family: Transfer RNA (tRNA) molecules are approximately 80 nucleotides in length. Their secondary structure includes four short double-helical elements and three loops (D, anti-codon, and T loops). Lineage: Eukaryota; Fungi; Basidiomycota; Agaricomycetes; Atheliales; Atheliaceae. The record is from Rfam by way of RNAcentral.